UACGUAGGGGGCAAGCGUUGUCCGGAAUCAUUGGGCGUAAAGAGCGUGUAGGCGGCCCGAUAAGUCCGCCGUGAAAGUCCAGGGCUCAACCCUGGAAUGCCGGUGGAAACUGUCGUGCUGGAGUCCGGAAGAGGCGAGUGGAAUUCCUGGUGUAGCGGUGAAAUGCGCGGAUAUCAGGAGGAACACCGGUGGCGAAGGCGGGUCUCUGGGCCGAUACUGACGCUGAGGCGCGAAAGCGUGGGGAGCAAACAGG
This 253-nucleotide ribosomal RNA is filed under the name uncultured bacterium. Its description in RNAcentral is "partial 16S ribosomal RNA". It matches the Rfam family "Bacterial small subunit ribosomal RNA", at positions 524 to 776 of the family's 1533-position model. The record is from RNAcentral.